This 863-nucleotide non-coding RNA is filed under the name Philanthus triangulum (European beewolf). The record is from RNAcentral. Lineage: Eukaryota; Metazoa; Arthropoda; Insecta; Hymenoptera; Crabronidae.
AAAAUAAUAAAAUUAAAAUUAUUAUAAAGAAUAAAAUUUAAUUUUUGUUUGAUAUUUAAUUAAAUCAAUUUAAUUAUAUAUAAGAAUUUUUUUAUUUAUUAAUUUAGAAAAUUAAUAUUGAAAUAUUAAUAAUUUAUUAUAUUUAUUAUUAGUAUUAUUAAGUAAAAUUGAAGUUUAAUUAUUAAUUUAAGUUUGAAUUAGGAAUUGAUAUAAAUAUAUGUAAAAUUAGUGCCAGCAACAGCGGUUAAACUACUUAUAUAAGUUAUUUGUUUCGAUUUUUAUAAGUUAAAAUAUUAAAUAAAUUAUAUUUAAAAUUUUUGAUUUUUUGUGGAAUGAUAAAUAUAUUAAAAUUUUGAAAUAUAUUUAUUAAUUAAUAAGAUUAUUAAAUUUUUUUAUAAACUAGGAUUAGAUACCCUAUUAUUAGGAUGAAAAUUAAAAAAUUAAAUUAUUAAAUGUGAAUCAUUAAAAUAAAAAGAUUUGGCGGUUUUUCAUUCUUAUUAGAGGAACUUGUGAUUUAAAUGAUGGUCCACGAUAAGAAUUACUUGUUUUUUUACUUGUGUAUUGUCGUUUAAAAAUUAUUUUUGAAUGAUUUUAAUUAUAAUAUUUUAUUUAUUAUUUUAUAAUAAAUUGAAUAAAAAUUCAGAUCAAAAUGUAGUAUAAAUAAGAUUUUAUGAGUUACAAUUAUUUUGAAAUUUUGUGAAUAAAUAAUUUUAAUAUUAUUUUGAAAAUGGAUUUAAAAGUAAAUUGAUUGAAUUAUAUUAAUUGAAAAAAGUUUUGAUUAAUGUACAAAUUGCCCGUCACUCUCAUGAUAAAUGAGAUAAGUCGUAACAAAGUAAAGAUACUGGAAAGUGUUUUUAGAGUUU